This 488-nucleotide ribosomal RNA is filed under the name uncultured bacterium. RNAcentral describes it as "partial 16S ribosomal RNA". It matches the Rfam family "Bacterial small subunit ribosomal RNA", at positions 30 to 507 of the family's 1533-position model. The record is from RNAcentral.
UGAACGCUGGCGGCAGGCCUAACACAUGCAAGUCGACCGGUAACAGGAAACAGCUUGCUGUUUCGCUGACGAGUGGCGGACGGGUGAGUAAUGUCUGGGAAACUGCCUGAUGGAGGGGGAUAACUACUGGAAACGGUAGCUAAUACCGCAUAACGUCGCAAGACCAAAGAGGGGGACCUUCGGGCCUCUUGCCAUCGGAUGUGCCCAGAUGGGAUUAGCUAGUAGGUGGGGUAACGGCUCACCUAGGCGACGAUCCCUAGCUGGUCUGAGAGGAUGACCAGCCACACUGGAACUGAGACACGGUCCAGACUCCUACGGGAGGCAGCAGUGGGGAAUAUUGCACAAUGGGCGCAAGCCUGAUGCAGCCAUGCCGCGUGUAUGAAGAAGGCCUUCGGGUUGUAAAGUACUUUCAGCGGGGAUGAAGGGAGUAAAGUUAAUACCUUUGCCCAUUGACGUUACCCGCAGAAGAAGCACCGGCUAACUCCGUG